This 251-nucleotide ribosomal RNA is filed under the name uncultured bacterium. Its description in RNAcentral is "partial 16S ribosomal RNA". It matches the Rfam family "Bacterial small subunit ribosomal RNA", at positions 524 to 776 of the family's 1533-position model. The record is from RNAcentral.
UACGUAGGGUGCGAGCGUUGUCCGGAAUUACUGGGCGUAAAGAGCUCGUAGGUGGUUUGUCGCGUUGUUCGUGAAAACCUGAGGCUUAACCUUGGGCGUGCGGGCGAUACGGGCAGGCUAGAGUUCGGUAGGAGAGUGGAAUUCCUGGUGUAGCGGUGAAAUGCGCAGAUAUCAGGAGGAACACCUAUUGCGAAGGCAGCUCGCUGGGACGUAACUGACGCUGAGACGCGAAAGCGUGGGGAGCAAACAGG